Molecule: non-coding RNA, 78 nt
Organism: Beta vulgaris subsp. vulgaris (sugar beet)
Lineage: Eukaryota; Viridiplantae; Streptophyta; Magnoliopsida; Caryophyllales; Amaranthaceae
Source: Rfam
AAUGAAGGGGAUGAUGUCUUCUUUUGUGAGUAUGAGUAUGACAUACAUUGGCAUUCUUUCAAGCGGCUUGCAGAAAUC